Molecule: small nucleolar RNA, 130 nt
Organism: Balaenoptera musculus (blue whale)
Lineage: Eukaryota; Metazoa; Chordata; Mammalia; Artiodactyla; Balaenopteridae
Source: Ensembl
GCUGAAGUCUAUCCCCAAAGGGCUUAGCUGAAGACCCACAUCAUUGGAAACACCUCACAGAGUAAACAUGUGGUUCUAUUUACUCACAGAAGUACGUAUUAGAUCCAUGGGAAAGAACCACAAGGCAGAG